This is a non-coding RNA of Cinara cedri, 238 nucleotides long. The record is from the annotation of a GenBank genome assembly. Lineage: Eukaryota; Metazoa; Arthropoda; Insecta; Hemiptera; Aphididae.
UAUUUUACCAUAAUAUGAUAUACUUAUUGUUAAUAAUGACACACUAUCAACCGAACUCCGCUAAGAAUCGUUUUUUCGUUUGCCAUGUUUUAUCUGAUACCAUGUUUUUUUACAGAUAUACAUUAAAUUUCCCCUCUACUACCAUUCAAACUUCUUAUCUACAUUUUUUUUUUUCAAUUACAAAUUGCUCUUUUUACGGUAGCAACGAAAAAUACUUAUACUCUAAACACAACGUCCC